Molecule: ribosomal RNA, 468 nt
Filed under: uncultured bacterium
Lineage: Bacteria
Description: partial 16S ribosomal RNA
Rfam family: Bacterial small subunit ribosomal RNA
Source: RNAcentral
GACGAACGCUGGCGGCGUGCUUAACACAUGCAAGUCGAACGGAAAGGCCCUGCUUUUGUGGGGUGCUCGAGUGGCGAACGGGUGAGUAACACGUGAGUAACCUGCCCUUGACUUUGGGAUAACUUCAGGAAACUGGGGCUAAUACCGGAUAGGAGCUCCUGCUGCAUGGUGGGGGUUGGAAAGUUUCGGCGGUUGGGGAUGGACUCGCGGCUUAUCAGCUUGUUGGUGGGGUAGUGGCUUACCAAGGCUUUGACGGGUAGCCGGCCUGAGAGGGUGACCGGCCACAUUGGGACUGAGAUACGGCCGAGACUCCUACGGGAGGCAGCAGUGGGGAAUAUUGCACAAUGGGCGGAAGCCUGAUGCAGCAACGCCGCGUGCGGGAUGACGGCCUUCGGGUUGUAAACCGCUUUCGCCUGUGACGAAGCGUGAGUGAGGGUAAUGGGUAAAGAAGCACCGGCUAACUACGUG